CGGAAACACAAAAUUUGUUUUUAAAGUCGGUUUUAUUUUACCUGCAUACGAGAACUUAUUUUUAAAAGAAAAGGCAUCAGACGGCUAAGGCGCCAUAGGAACACCGAUGCCGGUGAAGAAGUGGAACGCAUCUCGGGAAGCACACUUUCCCGAUCAUUGUGUCAGUUAAAGACAGAGAGUUAGCACAUGGCCAUGGGAAUGUGGUACCUUGCAAAAGAAACGAUACACCAGAAGGAAUGUCAUUGAAAACAGUAUACUCUCCAAAAGCUGCAAAGCUGCCUCCAUUUCGCUAGCAACGCCCAUCUUCCAACGAUCCAACGAGGACAAUAUAAGGUGCCGACCUCGCAGUAAGGUAUUGAACAGAAAGUAGGCGCAGUGCAUUUCAAUGCAUCAGUGAAACCAGGAUCUUUAUCUCUGAGCUUAAUUGAAAAGAGUGGGUUUGUAACGUGGCUCUAAAAUGCUCUUCGUGCAGGCAGAGCGCUUUAAUUGGGCUAAAUUGAUGAGAAUUGAAAGCACUCAGUUAAAAGCAAGACACCACAUUGGCAGGCGGCCUGUUGUGCCCAGUAACACAAAAGCACAAGGGCUCUUACCUGCACAUUAGCAUAGAGAUGCCAAGGGUGAGGAUCCGCCGUACACGAUUUUAAUAAUAAACACAUUUUCCCGUUAGCCUCCAGCACAAGAGGGAGUCAAACAUUUUCAGAGGCCGUUUGUCAUGCAUCUAUAGACUACUUCAGCUCAUUUCAACCGUAACACAGAACUAAAACAUCGUUUUAGUCAUUAUGGCUUCAGCAUAUUUUGGGAAAUGGAUAAAAAUUGAGUGUAUGUUGGUUGUGUAAGAUUUUUUUUGCUGGAGACUCAAAUGAUCACCCAGAACUCGCUAAUAUAACAUUGCUGGGUAGCUGUAACCUGUUAAAAUGUUUAUGGGCUGUUAAAAAGAAGUCUGCCUUGCUUUGUACGAUUUUAUUUCUAGAGUCUGAAGGCCUAAACUGAGAAUUUUUUUCAAGGAUCCAGGAUCCAGGAUACUGUGUCUACUCACGCUAAUGAGAUUCUGAGUUAUGGUUGGGUCAAGCUCUGUCAUUUGAAGUGUGAAGAGAUGUGGGUCACACACUCAACGGCUGUCAUUUCAGAGUAAAUAUUUUAAAGGAGUUUCUCCUCUUUACAUUUAUAACCAUUAUGUCGUUUUACACUAUUGAAAGGAAUAGAUGGCUGUGAUCUCGUCCAGCUGAGCUCUAGUGCUGUAAUAAUGCCUCUGGCCUUCAGUCAUCCUGGUGUCUUGUGCCUCUACCUGCUGACCUUCAGCAACAGAGGUCACAUCCAGAGCAUUCUUACCUCUUCAACUAAAGCUAAAGAGUUGACCUUGUGUGCUUAGCGUUUCUUAUUCAUUGUUUACCAUAUUUGGUUUUCUUGGUAAAAUACUUUCAUACAAACGCCACAUGCACCACAUACACCACAUAGUUCUUCAGUCUAUCACACAUUGGCGGCUGCCUAGAUUUUGGUUUAGAAUAUUAUAGGCUAUUAUUAAGACCAUUUGAGCUUGAUGAAUGCGGGCGAAAAUAAUGCUGCUGUGGUUGUGUGCAAAAGCUAAAUGUUUUUAUUAUCAUUAUAAUCGGAUAACAUUACAAUAAGUUGCAUGUUUCAAAUUGAUGACAUUUCUGCAAAAAAAUGAAAAUAUGCAACACUGAAGGUCAAAAAUUGAGACAAUUUAUUAUUUAUGAAACAAGCUUAUUUGUUGGCUGAUGACGGGCAGCUUUUUUGCUGGUUGCUGGUUUGAACUCAAGUGCCAUCACAUUGUUUUGCCUUAAAUUAAUGCAAUCAUAAUAUGUUUGAGAAGUAUUCUUGAGGGGAAGAUAAGUGCAUAUAAAUACUAUCAGAGGUGGGCGAAUCUGUGCGUUUCAUUUCAUGGUCAUAAUUCUCUCUAUGGAUGAUUGCAGAUUUGAUGGACAGCUGAAAAGAACAUGCUCUUGCCUUUAAAAAAAAUGGACACUGAAGCCACACUUAUUAAUGUCCAAUGUCAAGUGUGUUUAUCUGCAUGUCUUAUGCUGUAUGUUCUGUUCUUUUCAGCAACUUGUUUUUGAGGUCUCAAGUUCCUUUGAAGGAAUGAAAAAGGAAAUGUGCUGAAAUGUAGAUGAGUUUCUUUGAAGAAAUGUAACACUGCAUCACUCGAAAAAAUGAGUCCAUCAUCCAUAAUGUUUUUUUUUCUCAACCUCAUUCCAUAGCUAUGCAUUAGGUUCUUCUCUCUUUAUUGUCCAAACAAUUCAG
Puntigrus tetrazona (Sumatra barb) is the source of this 2259-nucleotide long non-coding RNA. RefSeq lists it as uncharacterized. Lineage: Eukaryota; Metazoa; Chordata; Actinopteri; Cypriniformes; Cyprinidae. The transcript has 3 exons. The record is from RefSeq and is a predicted model, not a curated record.